UAAUACGGAGGAGGCGAGCGUUAUCCGGAAUCACUGGGCGUAAAGUGUGCGUAGGCGGUCAAAUAAGUCAGAUGUGAAAUCCUCUGGCUUAACCAGAGAAUUGCAUCUGAUACUAUUUGACUCGAGUGCAAGAGAGGAGAAUGGAAUUCCCGGUGUAGCGGUGAAAUGCGUAGAUAUCGGGAAGAACACCAGUGGCGAAAGCGAUUCUCCAUCUUGACACUGACGCUGAGGCACGAAAGCCAGGGGAGCGAACGGGAUUAGAUACCCCGGUAGUCCUGGCUGUAAACUAUGGGCACUAGGUGUUUCCCGAUUUAUCGGGAUGUGCCGAAGCUAACGCGUUAAGUGCCCCGUCUGGGGGCUACGGUCGCAAGGCUG
RNAcentral lists this ribosomal RNA (375 nucleotides) under uncultured bacterium. Its description in RNAcentral is "bacterial SSU rRNA". It matches the Rfam family "Bacterial small subunit ribosomal RNA", at positions 521 to 896 of the family's 1533-position model. The record is from RNAcentral.